RNAcentral lists this ribosomal RNA (752 nucleotides) under uncultured bacterium. Its description in RNAcentral is "bacterial SSU rRNA". It matches the Rfam family "Bacterial small subunit ribosomal RNA", at positions 634 to 1399 of the family's 1533-position model. The record is from RNAcentral.
UAUAGGGCUUGAGGUCGGGAGAGGGACGUGGAAUUCCCGGUGUAGUGGUGGAAUGCGUAGAGAUCGGGAGGAACAUCAGUGGCGAAGGCGACGUCCUGGCCCGCACCUGACGCUCAGACGCGAAAGCGUGGGUAGCGAACGGGAUUAGAUACCCCGGUAGUCCACGCUGUAAACGGUGGAUACUAGGUGUUGGUGGCUAUCGUCAUCAGUGCCGUAGCUAACGCGUUAAGUAUCCCGCCUGGGGACUACGGCCGCAAGGCUAAAACUUAAAGGAAUUGACGGGGGCCCGCACAAGCAGCGGAGCGUGUGGUUUAAUUCGAGGCUACACGAAGAACCUUACCUGGACUUGACAUACACGUAGAAGUGAAGCGAAAGCGGAACGACCCUUCGGGGAGCGUGAACAGGUGCUGCAUGGCUGUCGUCAGCUCGUGCCGUGAGGUGUUGGGUUAAGUCCCGCAACGAGCGCAACCCUUGCCGUUAGUUACAAGUGUCUAACGGGACUGCCGGUUUAAUGCCGGAGGAAGGUGGGGAUGACGUCAAGUCCGCAUGGCCUUUAUGUCCAGGGCUACACACACGCUACAAUGGCCGAUACAAUGGGUAGCCAAGCCGCGAGGCGGAGCUAAUCCUCUAAAGUCGGCCUCAGUUCGGAUUGCAGGCUGCAACCCGCCUGCAUGAAGUCGGAGUUGCUAGUAACCGCGCGUCAGCCAUAGUGCGGUGAAUACGUUCCCGGGCCUUGCACACACCGCCCGUCA